GUUCCGAUCUUCCCUGGGGGCUUGCUUUUUUGACCGCCUUCCCACUGCAAAUCUCCAUCCUGACUCUCACUGACUGUAUCAAAUCAAAAAGAACCGAGAGGGUGGUAAAAAAGGGGGGCCUGUUGAUGGUCGCUGAUGCCUCUAGUGCAGCGUAAGCUUCUCCAGAGAGGGCUUUGUCACCUCUGUGUCUGCAAAGCACCCUGCUAGACAUGGAAGGAAUGAUUUGGUGCCAGCCCCACUGACUUAACUGAAGUUUAGGUCCAGUCGGACCCUGUAAAAAAGGUGUGGAAGAUUUACACACUGCAGCAGCAAAAUUGUGCAACGCUGGCAUAAGUAAUCUGUUAUGACAGCCCCUGAGGGAGUAACUCCUGUUGGCAGGAUGUGUGUAAUCCCGGCAUGGUCUGAUGCAUUGGUAACUGCACCGUAACAAUGGAAACUCGAGCUUGGCCUUGGGUACCUCACGGCUCGGGUUGGCGGGCUCAGCUGUGUUGGCAAGGCAUAAGAAACGAUGGACUUCUGCAACUCUUCUAUGCCAGGAAAGGGGAGUGAUUCUGUGUGAUUCACUUCUUGCUUCCUUGCUUUGCAUCAGCCUGGUAGUACAAAGGGAGGUGGGAAACAGCCUGUCUCCUGAGCUGGCUGCCUGCACCCUGGGGAGCUCCCGGCCGGCACUGAGCUGCCACGUACCCCUCAGCGCACGGGAAGAGGAAAGGCGGGGAGGGAGGUGGCCAAGCCCGUGGUGCUCCCGUCCCAUCCCGUCCCCAGGGACACCAGCUCUUUGGGAGAGCGGAGCAGUCAUCAGGCUAUGACUGGCUUUUCUGAGACAUCUCUUCCCAGCUUGGGCGUGGCAGAAAAUCGGGCUCAGUGGAGUUACACCAGUAUGCGUGAGAGCAAAUUAGGGCUCUGAAUCUUUAGUUUCAUUGUUUCGUGUUGAUGAUGCAAUAUGACUAAUUUGUUGGAAUAAUAGCACUGCACUCAAAUAUGCCCCUCUCAGAAAAAGCUUCCCUGCAGGCUCAUUAAGAGUAACCUUUUUUAAAAAACGAAUGCAUUUGCCUUAGUUCCUGAGAGCAGAAUAGCUCUUUAAAGUCGCAGAUACCCCUUUCAGAUUAUACCGUCUUGCUAAUGUAUUAUAUAAAAAUGUUAGGUGGCACCAUGCUUCAUUUGGAUGGUGCUUUUGGACAGGCCAUUUCUCCACCCUUCCCCAAAAAAUGCAUCUAAAAUCAUGGUUUUUAAUGGAAAUGGCCUUAUUUCUACCAGAUGUUCCCUCCAGUACCAAGGCUUGGGGUUUGCUGGCUCGGGACUAUCACUGUGCAAGGUGCUGGUAGUGCCAAGACAUUGAGUUAAAGGUCUGAAUUAAAGCAAGCAGAUAUUUGACUGAAAAGAGAUCCCAAGAAAACACAGAACAUUUCUAACCAGUGUUCAUAAAUGCAACUGAUGGUAAAGGAAUCCUGCCUUUGAACUGAUUGCUCUGAUCAGAUUUGGUUUUAAUUGAGUUCAGACUGUAGAAAUGAUUGGGGUUUAUGUACUUCCAGUUGGGAUCAGUGGUGAAUUUUGACAUUCCUCUUCUCUGUAACGAUUGUGUCAAGUAUGUGAAUUUCUAGCAUAUUUUUCUUUCUUUGGCAUAGGAAGAUGAGAACAUCUAUAUUAGUCCACCUCACCCAAAACCCAAGGGGCCAGAAAGGCCUUACACACGGGUGUCCUCUUACAGGUUCAGUCUCUGUGAUUUUUGCAGGUCUGGCAAAUCUAGCCCCAAGUGUUAAGCAUGGGUUUCCUAGGAAAGCUGGUGACUGGAUGAACAUGAAUAAAAAUGGCAUGAAGUGGCAAAUGUUCUAGUACAGUACAAUAUCAGCUUCAAGAUUAAAGGAAUUCCUUUCAACAUGGAAAUAUUUUGGGAAUGCCUGAGACAUUUUCCAUUGUCCUCAUAACAGUUAAUCUGCCUCACUGCUUACCAUCAUAUUUCAAUUCAAGAAAUGUAUACGAUUAUAUUAGAAGAUAAGAGGUACUAGGAAAGAUACCAUAUUAAACUGGUAUAUUUAUUACGUAUACCUACACAAUGACUUCAGGUUUUGAGGAGAAAAAGAACAAGUAUAUACAUUUGAAUGAAGCAAUAUAGCUUACAUUUGUCAGCAAAGUUUGCUGCAUUGAGCAAAUAUUUUCUACUUCUUACAGAAAAUCUGC
Long non-coding RNA from Chroicocephalus ridibundus (black-headed gull), 2175 nucleotides. RefSeq lists it as uncharacterized. The record is from RefSeq and is a predicted model, not a curated record. The transcript has 4 exons. NCBI's taxonomy places the organism in Eukaryota, Metazoa, Chordata, Aves, Charadriiformes, Laridae.